UGCUGGAUACCUCAGUCAGUAGAGCAUGAGACUUAAUCUCAGGAUUGUGGGUUCAAGCCCCAUGUUGGGCAA
Molecule: non-coding RNA, 72 nt
Organism: Podarcis lilfordi (Lilford's wall lizard)
Lineage: Eukaryota; Metazoa; Chordata; Lepidosauria; Squamata; Lacertidae
Source: the annotation of a GenBank genome assembly